AGAGUUUGAUCCUGGCUCAGAACGAACGCUGGCGGCGUGCCUAACACAUGCAAGUCGAGCGAGAAAGGGGUAGCAAUACCCCGAGUAAAGCGGCGCACGGGUGAGUAACACGUAGGUAACCUGCCUCCAAGACCGGGAUAACCCGUCGAAAGAUGGACUAAUACCGGAUAAGACCGCAGUCCCCUCGGGGAUCGGGGUAAAAGAUGGCCUCUGCAUGCAAGCUAUCACUUAGAGAUGGGCCUGCGUACCAUUAGCUAGUUGGUAGGGUAACGGCCUACCAAGGCGAAGAUGGUUAGCUGGUCUGAGAGGAUGACCAGCCACACUGGAACUGAGACACGGUCCAGACUCCUACGGGAGGCAGCAGUGGGGAAUCUUGCGCAAUGGGCGAAAGCCUGACGCAGCAACGCCGUGUGGGUGAUGAAGGCCUUCGGGUCGUAAAGCCCUGUCGGAGGGAACGAAUGUUCCCGGGGUGAACAAUCCCGGGAAGUGACGGUACCCUCAAAGGAAGCACCGGCUAACUCCGUGCCAGCAGCCGCGGUA
Molecule: ribosomal RNA, 540 nt
Filed under: uncultured Pseudomonadota bacterium
Lineage: Bacteria; Pseudomonadati; Pseudomonadota
Description: bacterial SSU rRNA
Rfam family: Bacterial small subunit ribosomal RNA
Source: RNAcentral